UGGCUCAGUUGGUAGCGCAUGGUGUUUGCAACGCCAGGGUUGUGGGUUCGAUUCCCAC
Non-coding RNA from Salmo salar (Atlantic salmon), 58 nucleotides. NCBI's taxonomy places the organism in Eukaryota, Metazoa, Chordata, Actinopteri, Salmoniformes, Salmonidae. The record is from Rfam.